AGCGAACGCUGGCGGCAUGCUUAACACAUGCAAGUCGCACGGGUCGGCUUCGGCCGGUCAGUGGCGGACGGGUGAGGAACGAGUAGGGAUCUGUCCUCUGGUGGGGGAUAACCGCGGGAAACUGCGGCUAAGACCGCAUGGGGCGCCGGUGUGAGAGCCGGUGUCAAAGGCGCGCAUCGCGUGGUGUGUGUGGCCGGGGGGUGGGCCUGCGUCCGAUUAGCUGGUUGGCUGGGUUGUGGCCCGCCCAGGCGGCGACCGGGAGCUGGGCGGAGCGGGGGCCCAGCCAGACUGGGACUGAGACACGGACCAGACUCCGACGGGAGGGAGCAGUGGGGAAUGUUGGACAAGGGGGGCAAGCCUGAUCCAGCAAUGCCGGGUGGGUGGAGAAGGUCGUCGGAUUGUAAAGCCCUUUCGGCGGGGACGAUGGUGACGGUACCCGCAGAAGAAGCCCCGGCUAACUUCGUG
RNAcentral lists this ribosomal RNA (465 nucleotides) under uncultured bacterium. Its description in RNAcentral is "partial 16S ribosomal RNA". It matches the Rfam family "Bacterial small subunit ribosomal RNA", at positions 28 to 507 of the family's 1533-position model. The record is from RNAcentral.